UGCAUAUCCCAAAAAGCGGAGGAAAAGAAACCAACCGGGAUUGCCUUAGUAACGGCGAGUGAAGCGGCAAAAGCUCAAAUUUGAAAUCUGGCGUCUUCGACGUCCGAGUUGUAAUUUGAAGAAGGCGACUUUGUAGCUGGUCCUUGUCUAUGUUCCUUGGAACAGGACGUCAUAGAGGGUGAGAAUCCCGUGUGGCGAGGAUCCCAGUUAUUUGUAAAGUGCUUUCGACGAGUCGAGUUGUUUGGGAAUGCAGCUCUAAGUGGGUGGUAAAUUCCAUCUAAAGCUAAAUAUUGGCGAGAGACCGAUAGCGAACAAGUACAGUGAUGGAAAGAUGAAAAGAACUUUGAAAAGAGAGUGAAAAAGUACGUGAAAUUGUUGAAAGGGAAGGGCAUUUGAUCAGACAUGGCGUUUGCUUCGGCUUUCGCUGGGCCAGCAUCAGUUUUAGCGGUUGGAUAAAUCCUCGGGAAUGUGGCUCUGCUUCGGUAGAGUGUUAUAGCCCGUGGGAAUACAGCCAGCUGGGACUGAGGAUUGCGACUUUUGUCAAGGAUGCUGGCGUAAUGGUUAAAUGCCGCCCGUCUUGAACCACGGGACC
RNAcentral lists this ribosomal RNA (592 nucleotides) under Kluyveromyces marxianus. Its description in RNAcentral is "partial large subunit ribosomal RNA". It matches the Rfam family "Eukaryotic large subunit ribosomal RNA", at positions 37 to 664 of the family's 3401-position model. The record is from RNAcentral. Lineage: Eukaryota; Fungi; Ascomycota; Saccharomycetes; Saccharomycetales; Saccharomycetaceae.